RNAcentral lists this long non-coding RNA (463 nucleotides) under Mus musculus (house mouse). RNAcentral describes it as "predicted gene 2379". The record is from RNAcentral. Lineage: Eukaryota; Metazoa; Chordata; Mammalia; Rodentia; Muridae.
AGAUUAUUGUGAGACAUUGUUUCUGUUCAGCCGUUCCACUCCUGGGAGCUAAUAAUCUACUCGGAGGCAGAAAGCCUUCAUAGGAAACAGGUCACAAGGCACGGCAUUACAGAAUUUCAGGACCGCAGAAUCUGUGCCCUGGAGCAGCCAAGCAGUCCUUGACAGUGGCAUCUCCUUAGACACACAGCUGGGUUCCCAGAAAGCCAUCGUCUGGCCUCUCUCCCUAGACUGGAAGAAAAUCUAUAGAGUUCAUACAUAGUUCCAGUGUGGAGAUGAAUGUCUUUCAAGGCAAAGGGUUUGCAUUAAAACAUAAAACCAUGAUGAAGUAGAAGGAGAAACUGGUCGUCAACGUGAGCAUGCCAGACAAGUCAGCAUGCUACGAGAAGAAGCAUGAGAAGAAGAAGGAGGAGGAGGAGGAGGAGGAGGAGGAGGAGGAGGAGGAGGAGGAGAAGGAGGAGAAGAA